Prinia subflava (tawny-flanked prinia) is the source of this 1944-nucleotide long non-coding RNA. RefSeq lists it as uncharacterized. The transcript has 2 exons. NCBI's taxonomy places the organism in Eukaryota, Metazoa, Chordata, Aves, Passeriformes, Cisticolidae. The record is from RefSeq and is a predicted model, not a curated record.
AAGAAAAAAAAAAAAAAAGGAAAAAAAAAAAAAAAAAAAGAAAAAAGCGCGUGAGAGAUACGACUAGGGGAAUAGAUCACUGAAAUUUUAAAUUUUCCCUGUUUUUGUAAAAACGCUAUCAUCUAUCCCGCAGAGGAUAUCUGGGGGGUAUGCACCCCUCUGUGGGAACCAUCGGUCUCAGUCUCGAUCCCGACAGGCUCCCGCACACGCCUUCACCUGCGCUUUGUCCGCAAUUUACCUGGUGAGCGCAGCCCCCCGGCUCGCUAGGCUGCAAAAUGAUGGGGGGAAAGCCUCAAGCAGACCCCAGCCUGCCCACAAAACCGCCUUUCGUGUAAGUUAGUGCGGAGAAAUGCCUUCAUGGCGAAGGGGGAGGUUGCACACGCGCAGCUUUGUCCAGAAAGAUAUAAUUUUCUUUUUCAGGCGCUGCCAAGAAAGAUUUCGUUUGCAGGAUCUCUCUUUAAUUUUAAGAUUUUGGUUUUUUGUUGGUUUGGGUUUUGGUGUUUGGGGGUUUUGGCGGGGGGGGGGGAUUGGUUGUUUUUUUGGGUUGUUUGUUUGUUUGUUUGUUUUGCUUUCAAGGUUAUUUCGGGAGCAGCUGUUGUUGGAGGGAGGAACGAGGCCGACCCCGCAGGUUUGAUUUGUUUCUCCUCAGGCAAAAGUUUGCUGGGUAGGGACCGACUCGGCAUGGUGAACGGGACUCGACUCCCGCCCGGCAACGGCGGUGCCCCGCGGCCUCCUGCCCCUGCGAGCCACGGGGCUGAGCCAGACCGGAGUUUAGAUUUCCAAGGAAAAAAUAUUUGUAUUUAAUAAAGAUGCUCCGUGAGCCGGGAAAGAACUAUCUCAACGACCAAAACUCACACCUCCUUAGUGAAAUCGCUUUUCUUAUUGAAAUUGCAUCAAAUCCAGGCAGGCUUCGCUCUCGGACACUUCCCUUUUUUUUCUUCUUUUUUUUUUUUUUUUUUUUUUUUUUUUUUUUUUUUUUUUCCCCUUGACUUCCAGCCUGAGCACCCCAAAGCAAAAGAAGGAUAAAAAGAGGGGAAUUUUGCACAUACAAAAACGGAAGGGAAAAAAGGAGAAGUGGUGAAAGAGUCGACGGAGAGGAGCGGCCGUGUCCCCGAUGUGCCUGGGAAGAGGGAGAUGCUGUCGGCAGCCGCGUCCUGGGAUCGCCCUGCACGGAAUGUCUCCAAAACCAGGAACUGUCACUCAACUACGGGAAAAGAGGGGUUUGAAGGCUACAGAUUUUCCCCAAGUGGGGUCAGACGGGGGUGUGGGAGCUGGGAGCUCAGGGGCCGAGACCGGAGCAGUGCCCACCCGAGCUUCACCACACUGUGCCUUCUCUCCAGCCGCUCUGUCCCAGGACAGCUGGGCUCACCCCUCCACGUGCCACCAGAGACAUUGGGGGUUGAGGGGCAGGGAGCCAGGAUUUUCCCCUCACGUCCUCUGGAAGAGAAGGAUGUUUUUCUUUCUUGUUAAGCUUUCGUACUAAAGAUGUCAUCUGAAAGUCUGGGAGGAAGGGGGGAUUGCUCUCUUUCUUGGUAACAACCAUAUUCUGCAUAUUGAAAAACAUGAUAGACAGUGGGGGAAUAUUUCCUCCCUCAUUAAAAACUUUAAAAAAGAAGGGGGAAAAAAAAGAAGAAGAAGAAGAAAAACACCCCAACCUUUUCAAUAUUGAUUCAACAAAAAAAGAGGGAGAGAAUUUUAAAAGAGAAGAAGCAGCACCAACAGCAAGGAGAAUAUAGGCUCAGCAGCUCUCCAGGUUCGCUUUCUUAUUAUUACUAUCCAGGGGUAAUUUUUCAUCUCUGCUAGCUAAUCUUUGUUCCUUGUGAAGAUAAUGAAUAGCCCAAUUCUUAUCUCCUGGGCUCCUGGAGGCUGCUGGAGAAUGGGGUUGAACAGGGUUGAAAAUUGGUUCCAAAGUGCUGCUGAAUAAAUGGUGUUCCUUAUCUCUCA